GGAGGGAUGGCCGAGCGGUCGAAGGCGGUGGUCUCGAAAACCACUAGGUAGUUUUGACACUACCUCAGGGGUUCAAAUCCCCUUCCCUCCU
Molecule: transfer RNA, 91 nt
Filed under: bacterium
Lineage: Bacteria
Also listed under: 2 other names
Description: tRNA-Ser
Rfam family: tRNA
About the family: Transfer RNA (tRNA) molecules are approximately 80 nucleotides in length. Their secondary structure includes four short double-helical elements and three loops (D, anti-codon, and T loops). Further hydrogen bonds mediate the characteristic L-shaped molecular structure. tRNAs have two regions of fundamental functional importance: the anti-codon, which is responsible for specific mRNA codon recognition, and the 3' end, to which the tRNAs corresponding amino acid is attached (by aminoacyl-tRNA synthetases). tRNAs cope with the degeneracy of the genetic code in two manners: having more than one tRNA (with a specific anti-codon) for a particular amino acid; and 'wobble' base-pairing, i.e. permitting non-standard base-pairing at the 3rd anti-codon position.
Source: RNAcentral